RNAcentral lists this long non-coding RNA (1070 nucleotides) under Brassica napus (rape). RNAcentral describes it as "long non-coding RNA (BNAP_LNC002392)". The record is from RNAcentral. Lineage: Eukaryota; Viridiplantae; Streptophyta; Magnoliopsida; Brassicales; Brassicaceae.
AGUUGCGGCAUAUGAGUCUAAUCCUCGAUUGCCACUAAUUCCGUAAGUAAUUAUGGAGUUGGAGAAAAAGCAAAAGAGGUAAUUAUGCCAAUUAUCAUCUUUACUAAUACGCCGACAAAAAGAAAAAACCUGUAGUGUAUGUAAGGCUUUCUCUCUCAUCUCUGUUCUCUCUCUAUAUCUUUCACAGAGAAGAUGAGAAAGCGGUUGAGUUUCUUUGGUUGACGCCGGUGAUUCUUCAUUCCGGCUUCGUUGUGUAACAAAGUCACCGGAUCCUUUCCGGUUGUAGUCUCCCGAUGAUUCGGGCUCUGUCUCUGGGGAGAGGUGGUUCACAUAACACUUUCUCCGCCGGCUUUAGUCUCCGGGAAGAGGUGAUCCUCUUACACCGUCUUCGCCGGCUUAUCACCGGUUUGAUACCGGUUAUAGUGGAUCUACGAUUCCGUUCUUCCUCUGUCCUUCCGCCUCUUGAUCUGUUUCUCUGAAUUUUCUUCGUUGGAAGAUUCGAGUUCUAGAUUCAAUCGUAGGCAGUUGAAUUCCCUUCUUCGAAUCGUAGAUCUGUCAGAGAUGUUUCGUCGUUUUGAGAUUCAGAGCUGUUCUGUUUGAGCGGCUUCUUCUCUAGGUUGGCUUCGCUGAAGGCGGAGCUCCGGCGUGCAUGCGCUCUGACUCCGGAGGAAGCUCGUGCCUUCCAUUUGUGACGCGUGUUCAUUGGGCGCCGGGCGUCCGGACACGUGGUGGUGGAGCUGGCAUCUUUCUCGACGGUUUCUCUUUUGGGCUUCGUGGCCCAUAAGUUUUGCGGUUUGGUGGCCUGUUGUUUGGCCUUUUAUGGUUUUUAUGUUUGUGUUGUUUGUUGGGCUUCGUCCCUUUUUGGGCCCAGUCCCUUAAUAAAAUUUAGAAGAUUUAAAAAAAACCUGUAGUGUACACAGCAAUGGUCCUCUACGGUAAGACGUAUGAAGAAGCUACACUCCAGCCAAUAAGAUUACGCCAGCUCAGCAAUAGCCUGAUACUUGUAACCGCAGUCAACAACGGUUUCUCUAGUUCAGCGCGUAGGAGAGAACACCACUUCACACGCCUCA